GACGAACGCUGGCGGCGUGCUUAACACAUUCAAGUCGAACGGAAAGGCCAUGCAUUUGUGGGGUGCUCGAGUGGCGAACGGGUUAGUAACACGUGAGUAACCUGCCCUUGACUUUGGGAUAACUUCAGGAAACUCGGGCUAAUAUCGGAUAGGAGCUCCUGCUGCAUGGUGGGCGUUGGAAAGUUUCGGCGGUUGGGGAUGGACUCCAGGCUUAUCCGCUUGUUGGUGGGGUAGUGGAUUACCAAGGUGUCGACGGAUAGCCGGCCUGAAAGGGUGACCGGGAACAUUGAGAAUGAGAAGCGACAAAGACCUCAACAGAAAACAAGAGUGGAGAAUAGUGCGAAAUAAACGGAAGCCAGAUGCAGAAACGCCUCGGGAGGGAUGACGCCCUUCUGGGUUUGAACAGCUUUCGAGUGUGAAGAAGUAAGAGUGACGGUAAUUGGUAAUGAAGACCCGGCUAACUACGUG
Molecule: ribosomal RNA, 468 nt
Filed under: uncultured bacterium
Lineage: Bacteria
Description: partial 16S ribosomal RNA
Rfam family: Bacterial small subunit ribosomal RNA
Source: RNAcentral